RNAcentral lists this ribosomal RNA (301 nucleotides) under uncultured bacterium. Its description in RNAcentral is "partial 16S ribosomal RNA". It matches the Rfam family "Bacterial small subunit ribosomal RNA", at positions 509 to 809 of the family's 1533-position model. The record is from RNAcentral.
CAGCCGCCGCGGGAAUACGAAGGGGGCUAGCGUUGUUCGGAAUCACUGGGCGUAAAGCGCACGUAGGCGGAUUUUUAAGUCAGGGGUGAAAUCCCGAGGCUCAACCUCGGAACUGCCUUUGAUACUGGGGAUCUCGAGUCCGGGAGAGGUGAGUGGAACUGCGAGUGUAGAGGUGAAAUUCGUAGAUAUUCGCAAGAACACCAGUGGCGAAGGCGGCUCACUGGCCCGGUACUGACGCUGAGGUGCGAAAGCGUGGGGAGCAAACAGGAUUAGAUACCCGGGUAGUCCCUGUCUCUUAUAA